Molecule: long non-coding RNA, 8308 nt
Filed under: Nicotiana benthamiana
Lineage: Eukaryota; Viridiplantae; Streptophyta; Magnoliopsida; Solanales; Solanaceae
Description: long non-coding RNA (NBEN_LNC016804)
Source: RNAcentral
CGCAGAAGAUGCAUGAGUACACCACAUCGGUACUCAGCAAGUGUCAAGCCAAACCUAGGUUGAGUAGUGACGAGGAAGGUCAGGGCCCUACUGAGAAUAAACAUAACAACAGCAAUGAACAAUGUAAGGCAGAAAAUAAGCAGGAAAGCAACAGUAAAAAUAGAAUUGAAGCUGCAAGUCAACGACAAUUAAGCUAGGUAAAGAAAAUAACACAAUCAAGUAUCACUCAAUAUCAGGAUGACAUAUGAAACUCCAGGAAUUGAACCCGUAGUCCAUUUUACCAAUAUCUGAGGAUCUUCCGGGAAUUAAACCCGUAGUCCAUCAUACCAAUGUCAGAGGAUCUCCCGGGAAUUGAACCCGUAGUCCCAAUCGUAAACACAUCACAACAAUUCAAUAAUGUACAAAUUCUAAGUAAAGACAACAGGUAGAAUCCAAAGUCUAACAUGCUUCACGAAGAGCAGAUAUUGCAAUUUAGCCAAAUAGAACGAGUAAGCUAACUAACAUGUUUUUCCUAAGCAAAACAAGUGAAAUUUGCAUUUAUAACAGUUCAAUACGUGAAGAACACAAUCUAAAUACGUCCAAGUAAGGUGGUUUUCCAACAAUUAGCACAAGUACACGCUCAUGAACUCGCGCACAAGGCCUUCUAAGCAACAGUCAAGAUGUACUAAGGGAAGAGGUCCCCCACAGAAAGUUGACAAGCCACUUACCUCGAACCGGUACAAAAAUUGCUAAAAAACGAUGACCUUGCCAUGAGUAUCCGACUCCGAGUGGCCCGAAUCUAUUAAAACCAAUUACAUAUUAUAAAUAACAUUGCAAGUAACUAAUUCCACUAUUAAAAUUAAAGCUAAGGCGUGAAAAUAUGUAAAAUAACCAAAAUACCCCUCAGGACAACGUCUUAGAAUUGAAUAAUUUCCUUAUUUUCAGAAUCUCGUACUCUCGCGAGUCUAACCAUAUAAAAAUCUCCCAAAUCGGAGGUCAAAUGCCCCUUCANNNNNNNNNNNNNNNNNNNNNNNNNNNNNNNNNNNNNNNNNNNNNNNNNNNNNNNNNNNNNNNNNNNNNNNNNNNNNNGCCCCUUCAAAUCCUCACAAUUAGGUCUAAGAACUUUACCCCAAUUUUCAUUCAAAAUCUGAAAUUAAAGGUUGAAUUCACGAUUAGAUUAGUGGGUUUAGUCAUAGGGGAGUAAGGAAUCAUUACCCAAUCAUUGCCUCUUGAAAGCCCUCGAGGCCCAGCACAAAAGGCUUUAUGCGAUGUAUGGAAGCUUAUGCUAUCACAGAGAAGGAAAGGUCUGCAACACAUAGUAGCAAAAUCUGCAACUCACUAAGUUCCGAAAUUGCUCCGUUGAGCAUCUGAAACACACCCGAGGCCCCCGGGACCUCAACCAAACCUAUGGACAUAUCCCAUAAUAUCAUUCAAACUUGUACCAAUCCUUAAACCAUCUAAUACAAUGUCGGAAACUCAAAUUAAUCAACGAUUUGAACUUAAGAACUCCAAAACUCAACCAAACUGACUUUCGAUAAAAAACCUAACCAAGCUAAGUCCGAUUGACCUGAAAUUUUGCACGCACGUCCCAAAUGACACGAUGGUGCUACAUAAACUUCCAGAAUCCCAUUCCGACCCUCGGAUAAAAAUUCACUAUCGGACCGGAAACUUUAAAAUUCUAACUUUCGGCAUUUCUAGCCUAAAUGAGCUACGGACAUCCGAAAUACAUUCCGAACACGCUCCCAACCCCGAAAUUACCUAACGGAGAUAACAGAUCCAUCAGAUUUCCAUUACGAGAUCGUCUUCACACUGUUCUGAUUAUGGACCAUUUUCCAAUAAUUAAGCUCUCAUUUAGGGACUAAGUGUCCCAAAACACUCCGAUUUCUAUUACCGAACGUCCUGACAAACCAAAAUAGCAGAAAUGGACUUAGAGAAAGUAGUAAUGGGGGAACGGGGCAUAAAUUUCAAAUACGACCGGCCGAGUUGCCACAUGUAUAGAAUAUAAUGUAUUUGUAUCAUUGUCAGUUAAUAGGGGAACAGGACAUAAAUUCGAAAGACGAACGGCCGGGUCGUCACAUCCUCCUACACUUAAAUAUUCAUUCGUCCUCGAACGAGCAUAGAGAACAUACCUCAAGUAGCAAAAAGAUGAGGGUAUCGGCUGUGCAUAUCCCGCUUGGUCUCCCAAGUCGCCUCCUUGGACGGAUGACCCUGCCACUGAACCUUUGCUGAAGCUAUAUCCUUUGACCUGAGCUUUCGGACAUGCAUGUCUAAUAUUUUCACUUGCUCCUCAACAUAGGACAAGUCAUUGUCCAACUGGACUAAAGUGAACUCCAACACAUGAGACGGGUCACUGUGAUACCUCCGAAGCAUCGAGACAUGAAAUACCGGAUGAACCCCGGCCAAACUGGGAGGUAACAAGUCAUUGUCCAACUGAACUGUAGUGAACUCCAACACGUGAGACGGGUCACCGUGAUACCUCUGAAGCAUCAAAACAUGAAAUAUUGGAUGAACCCCUGCCAAACUAGGAGGUAAGGCAAGCUCAUAAGCAACCUUCCCAAUCUGCCUCAAAAUCUCAAAUAGGCAAAUGAACCUCAGGCUGAACUUCCUUUUCUUUCCAAACCUCAUGACGCCUUUCAUAGGCGAGACCCGAAUCAAAACAUGCUCACCAACCAUAAAGGAAACAUCACGAACCUUCCGGUCCGCAUAACUCUUCUGUCUGGACUGUGCCGUACGGAGUCUAUCCCGAAUCACUUUAACCUUCUCGACCGCAUCCUGGACCAAAUCACUGCCCAAUAGCCUGGCCUCACCCGGCUCGAACCAACCCACCAGGGAUCUGCAUCUCCUACCAUAUAAAGAAGUAUCAUAGAAACGUAACCCAAUAAUCUCUUCUUCAAAUCCCUCUCAAAAUUGCCUUGGUCCGAGCUCAAACUUGAUUUUUCAACUUAUGAAAUUAAACCCUCGGAUUAUUUUUAUCUUUACACACAGCAAUUUCCGCUUUCGCGGACCAGGGACCGCUUCUGUGGUCCCAUCCAUUUUCGAGGUCAAAUUGCUGCUUGUGCGACUCCAGUUAAAACACAAAUUUUUGCGGUCUCAUACGGCGCCAUCUGAAUACUGGACUGAUAAAUGUUGUUGUAUGCAAACUUAGCCAAUGCAAAGAACUGAUCCCAAGACCCUCUAAACUCAAUUACGCAUGCACAGAGCAUAUCCUCAAGAAUAUGAAUAGUGCGCUCGGACUGCCCGUCCGUCUGUGGGUGAAAAGUUGUACUCAUAGCACCCGGGUACCCAUCUCAUGCUGGACAGCUCUCAAGAAUUGUGAUGUAAACACUGAACCCCUGUCUGAGAUGAUAAAAACUGGAAUGCUGUGUAGACGGACAAUGUCCCUGAUAUAAAUCCCCGCUAAUCACUCCCCUGAGUAAGAAGUACACACUGGAACAAAUGAUCGGACUUGGUCAGCCGAUGCACAACCACCAUAAUAGAAUCAAAUUUCUUUGCUGUCAGAGGGAGACCCGUCACAAAUCCAUAGUGAUUUUCUCCCAUUUCCACUCCGGAAUCUGCAUCUGCUGGAGUAACCCUCCAGGUCUCUAGUGCUCGGCCUUUACCUGCUGACAGUUUAGGCAUAUAGCUACAAACUCUGCUAUGUCUUUCUUCAUCCGCCUCCACCAGUAAUGAUGUCUCAGAUCCUGAUACAUCUUUGCGGCACCCGAAUGGAUGGAGUACCGCGAGCUAUGGGCCUCUGUCAAUAUCAACUCCUGAAUAUCAUCAACAUCGGGUACACAGAUCCGACCCUGCAUCCUCGAUACCCCGUCAUCUCUAAUAGUCACAUCCCUAGCGUCACCAUGUUGAAUUGUGUCCCUGAGGACAAGCAAAUGAGGGUCAUCAUACUGCUACUCCUUGAUACGAUCAAACAAUGAAGACCGAGAAAACACACAGGGUAGAACCCGACUGGGCUCCGAAAGGUCCAAUCUCACGAACUUACUGGCUAAAGCCUGAACAUCCAUCACCAUAGGUCUCUCUGAAGCUGGUAAAUAUGCCAAACUCCCCAAACUCUCCGCCCGGUGACUCAAGGCACCUGUUACCACAUCGGCUUUGCCCGGGUGAUAUAGAAUAGUAAUAUUAUAAUCCUUCAGUAGAUUUAACCAUCUCCUCUGGUGCAAGUUCAGAUCCUUUUGCUUGAACAAGUGCUGUAAACUCCGGUGAUCCAUAUAAAUCUCACAAGGCACGCCAUACAAAUAGUGGCGCCAGAUCUUCAAGGCAUGAACAAUAGCAGCUAACUCAAGGUCAUGGACAGGAUAGUUCUUUUCAUGUACCUUCAAUUGUCUGGAGGGGUACGCAAUCACCCUACCGUCCUACAUCAACACCGCUCCAAGACUGACUCAUGAGGCAUCACAAUAAACUGUAUAGGACCCCGAACCUUCGGUAAAAUCAGAAUAGGAGAUGAAGUCGAAGCUGUCUUGAGCUUCUGGAAGCUCGCCUCACACUCAUCUGUCCACGGAAAGGGAGCACCCUUCUAGGUCAAUCUAUUCAUAGGGGCUGCAAUCGAUGUGAACCCCUCCAUAAAACGACGGUAAUACCCCGCCAGGCCAAGGAAACUGCGGAUCUCUGUAGCUGAGGAGGGCCCGAUCCAACUCUGCACGGCCUCCACCUUCUUCGAAUCUAUCUGAAAUCCCUCACUCGAUACCACGUGGCCUAGGAAUGCCACAGAACCCAACCAAAACUCACAUUUUGAGAACUUUUCAUAUAAUUUCUUUUCUCUCAGGGUCUGAAGCACUGUCCUCACGUGAUGCGCAUUAUCUUCCCGACUACGGGAGUAUACAAUAAUAUCAUCUAUGAAAAUAAUGACAAACGAGUCGAGAUAAGGGCUGAAUAUACUGUGCAUCAAAUGCAUAAAAGCUACUAGGGCAUUGGUCAGCCCAAAUGAAAUGACAAGGAACUCGUAAUGACCAUACCGAGUCCUGAAAGCAGUCUUUGGGAUAUCCGGCUCCCGAAUUUUUAGCUUGUGAUAACCUAAGCGCAAAUCAAUCUUAGAAAAUACUUGUGCUCCCUAAAGCUGGUCAAACAGAUAAUUGAUACGAGGCAAAGGAUAUUGGUUCUUCACUGUAACCUUGUUUAACUGACGAUAAUCAAUACACAUGCGCAUAGAACCAUCUUUUUUCUAUACGAACAAGACGGGAGCAACCCAUGGUGAAACAUUGGGUCGAAUAAAACCCUUAUCAAGCAAUUCCUAUAACUGAUCCUUCAACUCUUUCAACUCAGGAGGAGCCAUACGGUAGGGAGGAAUGGAUAUGGGCUGAGUGCCCGGCAACAAAUCAAUACCAAAAUUAAUGUCCCGAUCGGGCGGCAUGCCCGGAAGAUCAUCUGGAAACACAUCGGUGAAAUCUCGUACUACUGGGAGAGAGUCAACAUAAGGGGUAUCAGCACUGACAUCUCUCACAUAAGCUAAAUACGCGGUGCACCCUUAGCUGGGAACAUAUUAGGGAAAUCUCGUACUACUAGGACAGAGUCAACAGAAAGGGUAUCAACACUGACAUCUCUCACAUAGGCUAAAUACGCGGUGCACCCCUUCUCAACCAUACGCUGAGCCUUAAGAAAAGAUAUAACUCUACUAGGAGUGUGAUCAAAAGUACCACUCCACUCAACACGUGGAAUACGUGCCAUAGCUAGUGUCAUGUCUUAGCGUGACAAUCAAGAAUAGCAUACUGGGGCGACAACCAGUCCAUGUCUAAGAUAAUAUAGAAAUCAACCAUAUCAAGUAAUAAAAGAUCUACCCUGGUCUCAAAACCACGAAUAGUAACCAAACAUAACCGAUAUACACGGUUCACAAUAAGGGAAUCUCCCACGGGAGUAGAAACAUAAAAUGGAGAACUCAAGUUCUCUCGGGCUGUACCCAAAUGCGGAGCAAAAUAAGAUGACAUGUAAGAAUAAGUAGAGCCUGGAUCGAAUAGAAAUGAUGCCUCUUUGUGACUAACAAAUAUAAUACAUGUGAUAACAGAAUCGGAGGCGACAGCCGUGGCACGAUCAAGAAUAGCAUAAAAUCUGGCCUGGCCCUCCCUCGAGGGAGACCUCUAUCUCCCCGAUUCCCACCCUUGGCUGGUUGUGUAGGUGGGGUGGCAGCUAGAGCUGGAACGAUGGCAUGCUGACCCUAUGGAGCAUGCUGAGGCUGUGGAGUCUGAGAAGGAACACCCCUCUCACAUCUGGGGCACUCUCUAACCAGGUGGCAGGUAUCCCCGCACUCAUAACAAGCUCUGGGAGGGCACGGUGGUUGUGACUGACUAGGCUCACCCCCUCUAGACUGACCUCUGGGAGUACCCGCGCAGGAGGCACACUAAAAACUGGAGGUGCAUAAUAAGACUCCUGAGAUCUGGGAAGAGCUGGAGUACUGCUGGAUAAAGGAAGAGCUGAGUGAACUGGGCGACCCAUAUAGCCCCUACCAAGACGCCCUGCUGCUGAUGUGCGGGUACCAGAGUAAUGACCCGACUCUCGAUACCUCUUGGCCUCUAUCUCCUUUCGCUCUCUGGCAUGCAUACCCUCUAUCCUCCUGGCUAUGCUCACUACCUGCUGAUAGGGUAUAUACAUCUCCAAAUCGCGAGGCAUGCCCGACCUGAUGGAAGGAAUAAGUCCCUCAAUAACCAGGGAACCCUCUCAUGAACAGUAGCCACCAAAGCCGGUGCAUGCCUGGCCAACCUAGUAUAACGGAUGGCAUACUCAGAGACAGUCAUAGGGCCCUGGAGCAAAUGCUCAAACUCCAUUCGCCAUGCAUCUCGGAGGCUCUAGGGAACAAAAUCCCUCUGAAACAUAUCUAAAAACUGAGUCCAAGUCAGGGAGGUAGCCUCCUCCAGACUGUCUAACUCAAAGGUGCACCACCAGUCAUAGGUGACUCACCGAAGCUGGAAAGCUGCGAAUGAAACCCCGUUCGAAGCAGUAAUACCCAUGGUGCGAAAGAUGCGGCGACAGCCCUCCAAAAACCCUAAAGCAUCAUCUGUAGCUAGUCCUCUGAAAACAUGAGGGUCAUACUUCUUGAACCUCUCCACUCUACGCUGCUCAUCCUCAGAAGCAGGUGCCCCAUCCUCGGGCUGAACCAGUACUGCAGCCUGGGAAGGGAUAAUAUCUAGAAACUGUCCCAUAUGCACCCUCUGCUCCGGAGUGCGGGCUGCGCUAGUCUGGGCUCCUCCCCCGGCCUGGGACGUGGCUGCAGGAAGGGGAAGUAACCCUGCCUGUGACAGCGUAGUAUACAUGCUCAUAAACUGUGCCAAUGCCUCCUAAACAUCUGGAGUAGUUGUGGUUGUGGGCGUGUCAGGUGCUUGGGUCCUGGCUGGAUCCGCUGGUGGUACCUCGGCGACCGUUCGCGCAAGUGCUCUGGUUUCACCCCGCGGGCGUCUAUGACCCCUGCCCUGGCCCCGCCUCUAGCGGCUGCAAGAGGGGGUGCGGGUGCCUAAUCAUCCUGGGCUGUGCGUGUCCUCACCAUCUGUGAGAGAAUGAAAGACAGAAGUUUAGAAUCGAUGUAAAAAAUAUAGCAUGAUAAGGAAUUCAAUGAAGUGAAGAUUUUUCCUAAACAGUUACAUAGCCUCCCAUAGAUAAGUAUAGACGUCUCCGUACCGAUCAGCGAGACUCUAAUAAACCGGCCUGUGUCCCGUGACUCCUAUGAACCUAUAGUUAUGAUACCAACUUGUCACGACCCUAGUUCACCAAUCGUGAAUCUGUCAUGAUGGCACCCAGUCUUCGCGACUAGGUAAGCCUAACAUAUUGCGGAAUUUAACAACCUUUACUAAAACAAUAACAAAAUACUAAAUUACAUAAGGAAAUGUAUAGACUUGCCACCUGGCAUAUACACUUCAACACAAAAUACUGGAAACAACCUCCAAGACCCGGAAACCCACAAGCAAACAUAGGCUAUAGAAAACGUACAAUGCUCUAUACACAAGAGUAGUCUAAUACAAGAGAAUGGAAUAGCAACUAGCUAACUAUAGGCAGAAUAUGAGGGAGACUCUCCGGAUCUGCAGGCGCUGUAGAUGCAUACCUCAAAUCUCCGAGUAUAGCUCCUGGAUCACUGAUAGUGCGCUCGACCAGAUGUACCUGGAUCUGCACAUGAAAACAUGCGCAGAAAAGGCAUGAGUACACCACAGCGGUACUCAGCAAGUGCCAAGCCUAACCUCGGUUGAAUAGUGACGAGGAAGGUCAAGGUCGUACUGAGAAUAAACAUAACAACAAUAAUGAACAAUGUAAGGCAGACAAAAAGUAGGAAAUAAACAAUAAAAAUAGAAUUGAAGCUGCAAGUCCGCGACAAUUAAGCUAGGUAAAGAAAAUAACACAAUCAAGUAUCACUCAAUAUCAG